This 182-nucleotide non-coding RNA is filed under the name Calditrichota bacterium. RNAcentral's name for it is "Calditrichaeota bacterium (hydrothermal vent metagenome) 6S RNA". It matches the Rfam family "6S / SsrS RNA". From Rfam's summary of the family: E. coli 6S RNA was the first non coding RNA to be sequenced, but its function was unknown until recently. It consists of 184 nucleotides that fold into an extended hairpin structure with a large single-stranded internal bulge. Lineage: Bacteria; Pseudomonadati; Calditrichota. The record is from RNAcentral.
AUAGCCCUGCAUUGGUUAGGGUGUUGUAUUUGGGAAGAACCAACACCAAUUAACAGGGAGCUUGACUCUGGGCGUCUAUUGCAGGCCUUCGUAACCCGAAGGAAGCAAGAACCGUUCAGGCAGGCACCCACCGUGUGCAACACGGUUCUUUUCCAAAUCCAUCCUACCAAUGCAGGGUUUUU